UACCAGCUCUCCGAGUGGUAGGGAUGAUUAUUGGGCUUAAAGCGUCCGUAGCCGGCUUAGCAAGUCUCCUGUUAAAUUCAGCGACCUAAUCGUUGAGCCGCGGGAGAUACUACUAGGCUAGGAGGCGGGAGAGGUCAACGGUACUUCCGGGGUAGGGGUGAAAUCCUAUAAUCCCGGGAGGACCACCAGUGGCGAAGGCUGUUGACUAGAACGCGCUAGACGGUGAGGGACGAAAGCUGGGGGAGCGAACCGGAUUAGAUACCCGGGUAGUCCCAGCUGUAAACGAUGCGAGCUAGGUGUUGGGGUGGCUACGUGCCACUUCAGUGCCGCAGGGAAGCCAUUAAGCUCGCCGCCUUGGGAGUACGGCCGCAAGGCUGAAACUUAAGGAAUUGGCGGGGAGCACCACAAGGCGUGAAGCUUGCGGUUC
RNAcentral lists this ribosomal RNA (427 nucleotides) under uncultured archaeon. RNAcentral's name for it is "bacterial SSU rRNA". It matches the Rfam family "Archaeal small subunit ribosomal RNA", at positions 474 to 903 of the family's 1478-position model. The record is from RNAcentral.